RNAcentral lists this ribosomal RNA (861 nucleotides) under uncultured fungus. RNAcentral's name for it is "eukaryotic LSU rRNA". The stretch from base 443 to 861 matches the Rfam family "Eukaryotic large subunit ribosomal RNA", at positions 1 to 416 of the family's 3401-position model. The record is from RNAcentral. Lineage: Eukaryota; Fungi.
GGGUAGACCUCCCACCCUUGAAUAACUACCUUCGUUGCUUUGGCGAGCCGCUUCGGCUACCGACCUUGGUUGGUACGCGCUCGCCGGAGAACACCAAACUCUGAAUUAAUUUGUCGUCUGAGUACUAUAUAAUAGUUAAAACUUUCAACAACGGAUCUCUUGGUUCUGGCAUCGAUGAAGAACGCAGCGAAAUGCGAUAAGUAAUGUGAAUUGCAGAAUUCAGUGAAUCAUCGAAUCUUUGAACGCACAUUGCGCCCCCUGGUAUUCCGGGGGGCAUGCCUGUUCGAGCGUCAUUUAAACCCUCAAGCUCAGCUUGGUGUUGGGGCCUGCCCACCGGCAGCCCUUAAAAUCAGUGGCGGUGCCAUCUGGCUCUAAGCGUAGUAAUUUCUCUCGCUAUAGGGUCCCGGUGGAGACUUGCCAAAACCCCCAAUUUUUCUAUGGUUGACCUCGGAUCAGGUAGGGAUACCCGCUGAACUUAAGCAUAUCAAUAAGCGGAGGAAAAGAAACCAACAGGGAUUACCUCAGUAACGGCGAGUGAAGCGGUAACAGCUCAAAUUUGAAAUCUGGCCCUUUCAGGGUCCGAGUUGUAAUUUGUAGAAGAUGCUUCGGGUGUAGCUCCGGUCUAAGUUCCUUGGAACAGGACGUCAUAGAGGGUGAGAAUCCCGUAUGUGACUGGUUGCUUUCGCCCAUGUGAAGCUCUUUCGACGAGUCGAGUUGUUUGGGAAUGCAGCUCUAAAUGGGUGGUAAAUUUCAUCUAAAGCUAAAUAUUGGCCAGAGACCGAUAGCGCACAAGUAGAGUGAUCGAAAGAUGAAAAGCACUUUGGAAAGAGAGUUAAACAGUACGUGAAAUUGUUGAAAGGG